UACGGAAGGUGCAAGCGUUGUCCGGAUUGACUGGGUGUAAAGGGCGCGUAGGCGGAGAAGUGUGUCGGGAGUGAAAUCGUGCGGCUUAACCGUAUCAAUUGCUUUCGAAACUACUUCCCUUGAGUGCAAGAGGGGCAGACGGAAUUCCUGGUGUAGCGGUGGAAUGCGUAGAUAUCAGGAAGAACACCGGAGGCGAAGGCGGUCUGCUGGCUUGUAACUGACGCUGAGGCGCGAAAGUGUGGGGAGCAAACAGG
RNAcentral lists this ribosomal RNA (254 nucleotides) under uncultured bacterium. RNAcentral describes it as "partial 16S ribosomal RNA". It matches the Rfam family "Bacterial small subunit ribosomal RNA", at positions 524 to 776 of the family's 1533-position model. The record is from RNAcentral.